RNAcentral lists this ribosomal RNA (390 nucleotides) under uncultured bacterium. Its description in RNAcentral is "bacterial SSU rRNA". It matches the Rfam family "Bacterial small subunit ribosomal RNA", at positions 524 to 916 of the family's 1533-position model. The record is from RNAcentral.
UACGUAGGGUGCGAGCGUUAAUCGGAUUUACUGGGCGUACAGGGAGCGUAGGCGGUUGGGUAAGCCCUCCGUGAAAUCUCCAGGCUUAACCUGGAAAGUGCAGAGGGGACUGCUCGGCUAGAGGAUGGGAGAGGAGCGCGGAAUUCCCGGUGUAGCGGUGAAAUGCGUAGAGAUCGGGAGGAAGGCCGGUGGCGAAGGCGGCGCUCUGGAACAUUUCUGACGCUGAGGCUCGAAAGCGUGGGGAGCAAACAGGAUUAGAUACCCUGGUAGUCCACGCCUUAAACGAUGGAUACUAAGUGUCGGCGGGUUACCGCCGGUGCCGCAGCUAACGCAGUAAGUAUCCCGCCUGGGAAGUACGGCCGCAAGGUUGAAACUCAAAUGAAUUGACGG